UUAGAGUUUGAUCCUGGCUCAGGAUGAACGCUAGCGGCAGGCCUAACACAUGCAAGUCGAGGGGUAACAGAAGUAGCAAUACUUGCUGACGACCGGCGCACGGGUGAGUAACGCGUAUGCAACCUACCUUUGACUGGAGAAUAGCCCGAAGAAAUUCGGAUUAAUGCUUCAUGAGACCACAAUACCGCAUGAUAUAGUGGUAAAAGCUCCGGCGGUCAAAGAUGGGCAUGCGUGCCAUUAGUUAGUUGGUGAGGUUACGGCUCACCAAGACAACGAUGGCUAGGGGGUCUGAGAGGAUGAUCCCCCACACUGGUACUGAGACACGGACCAGACUCCUACGGGAGGCAGCAGUGAGGAAUAUUGGUCAAUGGACGCAAGUCUGAACCAGCCAUGCCGCGUGCAGGAUGAAUGCCCUAUGGGUUGUAAACUGCUUUUCUACAAGAAGAAACUUCCUGAUGUAUCAGGAACUGACGGUAUUGUAGGAAUAAGCAUCGGCUAACUCCGUGCCAGCAGCCGCGGUAAUACGGAGGAUGCAAGCGUUAUCCGGAUUCAUUGGGUUUAAAGGGUGCGUAGGCGGGGUAGUAAGUCAGUGGUGAAAGCCUGCGGCUUAACCGUAGAAUUGCCAUUGAUACUGCUAUUCUUGAGUGCAGUUGAGUAGCGGAAUGUGUAAUGUAGCGGUGAAAUGCUUAG
This 690-nucleotide ribosomal RNA is filed under the name uncultured organism. Its description in RNAcentral is "bacterial SSU rRNA". It matches the Rfam family "Bacterial small subunit ribosomal RNA", at positions 1 to 693 of the family's 1533-position model. The record is from RNAcentral.